Magnolia sinica is the source of this 2256-nucleotide RNA transcript. RefSeq lists it as uncharacterized. The transcript has 17 exons. The record is from RefSeq and is a predicted model, not a curated record. Lineage: Eukaryota; Viridiplantae; Streptophyta; Magnoliopsida; Magnoliales; Magnoliaceae.
CUAUCUGGAUGGUUUGGAUUGACGAAAUUGCUUGCGACGUCGACAAUGUAGUAGUUUCCACAGUUUAUCAAGUCGUGACGUACGCACACGGCAGUUUUUCUUACAAAGGGCAAAAGGUCGUUUUUUUUCUUUGCGUUUUCUGUAACGAGAAACGGAAAUGGCGGGCUUUUGUUCGAUUUCAAUCCCUUUUAGCUUUUCGGGUCGAUCCCCAUCCAUCGGAUUCGCGCGGCAAUCCGAAUUCCUCGACGAAUUCUAAGAUGUUUCCAGCAAGGAGUUGGUUUCAUAAGUUUCAGCCUCGAGAUAAGAUGCGGUCAGCAUCGAGGAAGAAGGAGGGAACAAGUGAUGCAAACGAAGGCGGGAAGCCGCCCAUGAGCGAGGAUGCAACUUCGAAUGUCACGAAGCAGAGGGUUGCGGCGGCGAAGCAGUAUAUAGAGAACCACUACAAAGAGCAGAUGAAGAACUUGCAGGAGCGGAAGGAGCGACGGUGUACCCUAGAGAAGAAGCUGGCUGAUGCUGAUGUGUCUGAGGAAGACCAAAAUAAUCUUAUAAAAUUCUUGGAGAAAAAGGAAACUGAAUACAUGCGCCUUCAGAGGCAUAAAAUGGGCGCGGAUGAUUUUGAACUAUUGACAAUGAUAGGGAAGGGUGCUUUUGGUGAGGUUAGGAUCUGUAGGGAGAAGACAUCUGGUCAUGUGUAUGCAAUGAAAAAGCUGAAGAAGUCAGAGAUGCUUCGUAGAGGCCAGGUUGAACAUGUUAAAGCAGAGAGGAAUCUUCUUGCUGAGGUUGACAGCAAUUGCAUUGUCAAACUUUAUUGUUCUUUCCAAGAUGAAGGCUUCCUAUACCUAAUUAUGGAGUAUUUACCGGGUGGAGAUAUGAUGACUUUACUUAUGAGGAAGGAUACCUUGACAGAAGAUGAGGCCAGAUUCUAUAUUGGGGAAACAGUUCUGGCUGUCGAGUCUAUCCACAAGCACAAUUACAUUCAUAGAGAUAUCAAGCCUGACAAUUUGUUACUGGAUAGAGAUGGUCACUUGAAGCUGUCAGAUUUUGGGCUUUGUAAACCGUUGGAUUGCAGUAGCUUUCCUAAUUUAAAUGAGAAAGAUAUUGCGACUGGAAAUAACAAUAUUGAGGCUACACAAAAUGAUGGACGCCCAAAGCGAACACAACAGGAGCAACUACAACACUGGCAAAGGAACAGGCGAAUGCUGGCAUAUUCUACUGUUGGCACACCUGAUUAUAUUGCUCCAGAAGUUUUGCUGAAGAAAGGUUAUGGAAUGGAAUGUGAUUGGUGGUCGCUGGGAGCUAUCAUGUAUGAAAUGCUAGUAGGUUAUCCACCAUUUUAUUCAGAUGAGCCAAUGGCAACAUGUAGGAAGAUUGUAAAUUGGAGAACUCAUUUAAAAUUUCCUGAAGAAGCAAAUCUAUCUCCAGGAGCUAAAGAUCUCAUCAGCAAACUCCUAUGCAAUGUCGAAAAGAGACUUGGAGGAAAAGGCGCCAGUGAAAUAAAGGCACACCCAUGGUUUCAAGGUGUUGAAUGGGACAGACUAUAUCAUAUGGAGGCUGCAUUUAUUCCAGAGGUCAAUGAUGAGCUGGAUACUCAAAAUUUUGAGAAAUUUGAUGAGUCUGAGAACGAAACUCAAACUUCGUCGAAAACAGGCCCUUGGAGAAAGAUGCUUUCAUCAAAGGAUAUUAACUUUGUGGGUUACACUUAUAAGAACUUUGAAAUCGUCAAUGAUCAUCAAGUGCCUGGGAUGGCUGAACUGAAGAAGAAGGAUAACAAACCAAAAAGGCCAUCCGUCAUGUCUCUCUUUGAUGAUCCAGGGCCAGCUGAUGAACCACCAUCAGCUGAAGGGAGUUUUAUCUGCCUCUUACCUCCCCAUCUAGAAGUCUCCCAAAGCGAAAACCCAUAUUCUCCAUGAAAAACCCGUGAAUACUUGUAGUGAUCAGAUGGCUGAAGAGCUCCAUCCCACAUAUUCAACUCCUUGCAUAUUUCUGCAGCAAUGCGAUGGCACGUGUACGAUUUCCCAAGUGACUGCGCAUCAGGAGCCUCAUGCGGACAGAGUAUAAAUAACUUCCUAAAAUUCAUCCGCCUUCCUCUGCCGCUUCUCCAAAAUCCAGAGAGUGACAGAAAACCCUAAUAUCUCCAUUUUCAUCAUUUCCCAGGUCGAAUUGCUGCGAGUUUACAAGAUUCAAACCGUUAAAUAUGCAGGCAAGUGAUAGGUUUAAUAUCAAUUCCCAGCUUGAGCAUCUCCAAGCUAAAUAUGU